GAGUUUGAUCAUGGCUCAGAACGAACGCUGGCGGCAUGCCUAACACAUGCAAGUCGAACGGGAUCCUGGCUUCGGCCAGGUGAGAGUGGCGGACGGGUGAGUAACGCGUGGGAACCUGCCCAAUGGUCUGGGAUAACCGCGGGAAACUGCGGCUAAUACCGGAUAAGCCCGAGAGGGGAAAGAUUUAUCGCCGAUGGAGGGGCCCGCGUCCGAUUAGGUAGUUGGUGAGGUAACGGCUCACCAAGCCGACGAUCGGUAGCUGGUCUGAGAGGAUGAUCAGCCACACUGGGACUGAGAUACGGCCCAGACUCCUACGGGAGGCAGCAGUGGGGAAUAUUGGACAAUGGGGGCAACCCUGAUCCAGCAAUGCCGCGUGAGUGAUGAAGGCCUUAGGGUUGUAAAGCUCUUUUGGCGGGGACGAUGAUGACGGUACCGCAGAAUAAGCCCCGGCUAACUUCGUGCCAGCCGCCGCGGUAAG
Molecule: ribosomal RNA, 478 nt
Filed under: uncultured Alphaproteobacteria bacterium
Lineage: Bacteria; Pseudomonadati; Pseudomonadota; Alphaproteobacteria
Description: bacterial SSU rRNA
Rfam family: Bacterial small subunit ribosomal RNA
Source: RNAcentral